GUGGGUGUAGCUCAGCUGGUUAGAGCAACGGGUUGUGGUCCCGUAGGUCGUGGGUUCGAAUCCCAUCACUCACCCCA
This 77-nucleotide transfer RNA is filed under the name bacterium. RNAcentral's name for it is "tRNA-His". It matches the Rfam family "tRNA". Rfam says of the family: Transfer RNA (tRNA) molecules are approximately 80 nucleotides in length. Their secondary structure includes four short double-helical elements and three loops (D, anti-codon, and T loops). Further hydrogen bonds mediate the characteristic L-shaped molecular structure. tRNAs have two regions of fundamental functional importance: the anti-codon, which is responsible for specific mRNA codon recognition, and the 3' end, to which the tRNAs corresponding amino acid is attached (by aminoacyl-tRNA synthetases). tRNAs cope with the degeneracy of the genetic code in two manners: having more than one tRNA (with a specific anti-codon) for a particular amino acid; and 'wobble' base-pairing, i.e. permitting non-standard base-pairing at the 3rd anti-codon position. The record is from RNAcentral.